This 85-nucleotide transfer RNA is filed under the name Methanosarcinales archaeon. RNAcentral's name for it is "tRNA-Leu". It matches the Rfam family "tRNA". From Rfam's summary of the family: Transfer RNA (tRNA) molecules are approximately 80 nucleotides in length. Their secondary structure includes four short double-helical elements and three loops (D, anti-codon, and T loops). Lineage: Archaea; Methanobacteriati; Methanobacteriota; Methanomicrobia; Methanosarcinales. RNAcentral also lists the same sequence under 2 other names. The record is from RNAcentral.
GCGGGGAUAGCCAAGCCAGGCCAAAGGCGCAGGACUUAAGAUCCUGUUACGAAGGUAUUCGUGGGUUCGAAUCCCACUCCCCGCA